This 853-nucleotide ribosomal RNA is filed under the name Daldinia concentrica. RNAcentral's name for it is "LSU rRNA". It matches the Rfam family "Eukaryotic large subunit ribosomal RNA", at positions 53 to 922 of the family's 3401-position model. The record is from RNAcentral. Lineage: Eukaryota; Fungi; Ascomycota; Sordariomycetes; Xylariales; Hypoxylaceae.
GAGGAGAAGAGACCAACCAGGGGAUUGCCCUAGUAACGGCCGAGUGAAGCGGCAACAGCUCAAAUUUGAAAUCUGGCCCUCGCGGUCCCGAGUUGUAAUUUGUAGAGGAUGCUUUUGGUUAGGUACCUUCCCGAGUUCCCUGGAACGGGACGCCAGAGAGGGUGAGAGCCCCGUACGGUUGGAUACCGAGCCUCUAUAUAGCUCCUUCGACGAGUCGAGUAGUUUGGGAAUGCUGCUCUAAAUGGGAGGUAAAUUUCUUCUAAAGCUAAAUACCGGCCAGAGACCGAUAGCGCACAAGUAGAGUGAUCGAAAGAUGAAAAGUACUUUGAAAAGAGGGUUAAAUAGCACGUGAAAUUGUUGAAAGGGAAGCGUUUGCGACCAGACUUUUUCCGGGCGGAUCAUCCGGUGUUCUCACCGGUGCACUUCGCCCGGUUUAGGCCAGCAUCGGUUCUCCUAGGGGGAUAAAGGCGGGGGGAACGUGGCUCCUUCGGGAGUGUUAUAGCCCCCCGCGUAAUACCCCUCGGGGGACCGAGGAACGCGCAUCUGCAAGGAUGCUGGCGUAAUGGUCGCCAACGACCCGUCUUGAAACACGGACCAAGGAGUCGAACAUUUGUGCGAGUGUUUGGGUGUCAAACCCUCACGCGUAAUGAAAGUGAACGGAGGUGAGAGCCCCUCGGGGUGCAUCAUCGACCGAUCCUGAUGUCUUCGGAUGGAUUUGAGUAAGAGCAUAAAUGUUCGGACCCGAAAGAUGGUGAACUAUGCGUGGAUAGGGGUGAAGCCAGAGGGAAACUCUGGUGGAGGCUCCGCAGCGGGUUUCUGACGUGCAAAUCGAUCGUCAAAUCUGCGCAUGGGG